CCUACGGGUGGCAGCAGUGAGGAAUAUUGGUCAAUGGACGAGAGUCUGAACCAGCCAAGUAGCGUGAAGGAUGACUGCCCUAUGGGUUGUAAACUUCUUUUAUAUGGGAAUAAAAUGUUCCACGUGUGGGAUUUUGUAUGUACCAUAUGAAUAAGGAUCGGCUAACUCCGUGCCAGCAGCCGCGGUAAUACGGAGGAUCCGAGCGUUAUCCGGAUUUAUUGGGUUUAAAGGGAGCGUAGGUGGAUUGUUAAGUCAGUUGUGAAAGUUUGCGGCUCAACCGUAAAAUUGCAGUUGAAACUGGCAGUCUUGAGUACAGUAGAGGUGGGCGGAAUUCGUGGUGUAGCGGUGAAAUGCUUAGAUAUCACGAAGAACUCCGAUUGCGAAGGCAGUUCACUGGACUGACACUGACACUGAGGCUCGAAAGUGUGGGUAUCAAACAGGAUUAGAUACCCGAGUAGUC
RNAcentral lists this ribosomal RNA (460 nucleotides) under uncultured bacterium. RNAcentral describes it as "partial 16S ribosomal RNA". It matches the Rfam family "Bacterial small subunit ribosomal RNA", at positions 338 to 795 of the family's 1533-position model. The record is from RNAcentral.